UACGUAGGGGGCAAGCGUUGUCCGGAAUCAUUGGGCGUAAAGAGCGUGUAGGCGGUUCGGUAAGUCGGCUGUGAAAGUCCAAGGCUCAACCUUGGGAUGCCGGUCGAUACUGCCGGACUAGAGUUCGGAAGAGGCGAGUGGAAUUCCCGGUGUAGCGGUGAAAUGCACAGAGAUCGGCAGGAACACCCAGGGGGAAACCAGUCGACUGGGCAUCUACUGACGCUGAGGUGCGAGAGCGUGGGGAGCGAACCGG
RNAcentral lists this ribosomal RNA (253 nucleotides) under uncultured bacterium. RNAcentral's name for it is "partial 16S ribosomal RNA". It matches the Rfam family "Bacterial small subunit ribosomal RNA", at positions 524 to 776 of the family's 1533-position model. The record is from RNAcentral.